GCCAUCGUAGCUUAAAUUUAAAGCAUAACACUGAAGAUGUUAAUAUGGAGAUUAAACCUCCCCCGAAGACA
Molecule: transfer RNA, 71 nt
Filed under: Champsodon cf. snyderi CBM-ZF 10876
Lineage: Eukaryota; Metazoa; Chordata; Actinopteri; Acropomatiformes; Champsodontidae
Description: tRNA-Phe
Rfam family: tRNA
About the family: Transfer RNA (tRNA) molecules are approximately 80 nucleotides in length. Their secondary structure includes four short double-helical elements and three loops (D, anti-codon, and T loops). Further hydrogen bonds mediate the characteristic L-shaped molecular structure. tRNAs have two regions of fundamental functional importance: the anti-codon, which is responsible for specific mRNA codon recognition, and the 3' end, to which the tRNAs corresponding amino acid is attached (by aminoacyl-tRNA synthetases). tRNAs cope with the degeneracy of the genetic code in two manners: having more than one tRNA (with a specific anti-codon) for a particular amino acid; and 'wobble' base-pairing, i.e. permitting non-standard base-pairing at the 3rd anti-codon position.
Source: RNAcentral